UACAGAGGUCCCAAGCGUUGUUCGGAUUCAUUGGGCGUAAAGGGUGCGUAGGCGGCCAUCUAAGUCAGACGUGAAAUCCCCCGGCUCAACCUGGGAACUGCGUCUGAUACUGGACGGCUUGAGUUUUGGAGAGGGAUGUAGAAUUCCAGGUGUAGCGGUGAAAUGCGUAGAUAUCUGGAGGAAUACCGGUGGCGAAGGCGGCCACCUGGACGGUAACUGACGCUGAGACGCGAAAGCGUGGGGAGCAAACAGG
RNAcentral lists this ribosomal RNA (253 nucleotides) under uncultured bacterium. RNAcentral's name for it is "partial 16S ribosomal RNA". It matches the Rfam family "Bacterial small subunit ribosomal RNA", at positions 524 to 776 of the family's 1533-position model. The record is from RNAcentral.